UUCAGGCAACCAUGCUGUAAUAAAGCUAAUUGAUUGGUGGAUUAGAAUUCUGGGUGGCUAGGGGUGAUAGGGAACAAGACAGAUGAGGUUGAUUUGGCUUGAUCCUGCCAAAGAAAUUUACUUCUAUUUUGAAAAAUGAACACAUGUUCUUAGAUGUGCAGGGUUAAGUUUCCAAAUGCGAGGUUUAUAGCAAAUCAAAGAGGAUCAAGAGAAUCAUAGUACGAUAGUACAGUAGGAUAAGCAUGUAUGACUGUAGGAUAAUACAGUUUGAAGAAUGAUGAUGGUAUGGUUCUCAUAUAUAGAGGACGGUGGUUGACUCAAAAGAGUUUAUCACCUCAAAAAUUUCCAUUCUUGGAAUAACUUGCCUUAUUAGAAGUCCAUCAACAUCUCUGGCAUCUUCAGUACUACUUACGGCAGCUGCACAAGUGUUAUUCAUGAUAUAGCAACCUUUUAGAUAUAUUUCUUGUUGUCCCGGACUCCCUGUUAAAACAUAAGUGCUUUUGCAGGCUUACAAGAAAUGGAUUUUGAAGACCAUCUAACUAUCU
This 545-nucleotide long non-coding RNA is filed under the name Triticum aestivum (bread wheat). RNAcentral describes it as "long non-coding RNA (TAES_LNC026435)". Lineage: Eukaryota; Viridiplantae; Streptophyta; Magnoliopsida; Poales; Poaceae. The record is from RNAcentral.